This 368-nucleotide ribosomal RNA is filed under the name uncultured bacterium. Its description in RNAcentral is "bacterial SSU rRNA". It matches the Rfam family "Bacterial small subunit ribosomal RNA", at positions 28 to 423 of the family's 1533-position model. The record is from RNAcentral.
AACGAACGCUGGCGGCAUGCCUAACACAUGCAAGUCGAGCGCCCGUAGCAAUACGGGAGCGGCGCACGGGUGAGUAGCGCGUGGGAACCUGCCCAGAGGUUCGGGACAACCGCGGGAAACUGCGGCUGAUACCGGAUGAUGCCUGAGGGCCAAAGAUUUAUCGCCUUUGGAGGGGCCCGCGUCGGAUUAGGUAGUUGGUGAGGUAGCGGCUCACCAAGCCUGUGAUCCGAGCUGGUCUGAGAGGAUGAUCAGCCACACUGGGACUGAGACACGGCCCAGACUCCUACGGGAGGCAGCAGUGGGGAGUAUUGGACAAUGGGGGCAACCCUGAUCCAGCAAUGCCGCGUGGGUGAUGAAGGCCUUCGGUU